UACAGAGGGUGCUAGCGUUGUUCGGAAUCAUUGGGCGUAAAGGGCGUGUAGGCGGUUUGUUAAGUCAUGUGUGAAAUCCCUGGGCUCAACCCAGGAACUGCGUCCGAUACUGGCAGGCUUGAAUUCGGGAGAGGGAUGCGGAAUUCCAGGUGUAGCGGUGGAAUGCGUAGAUAUCUGGAGGAACACCGGUGGCGAAGGCGGCAUCCUGGACGAUAACUGACGCUGAGACGCGAAAGCGUGGGGAGCAAACAGG
This 253-nucleotide ribosomal RNA is filed under the name uncultured bacterium. Its description in RNAcentral is "partial 16S ribosomal RNA". It matches the Rfam family "Bacterial small subunit ribosomal RNA", at positions 524 to 776 of the family's 1533-position model. The record is from RNAcentral.